Molecule: long non-coding RNA, 777 nt
Filed under: Mus musculus (house mouse)
Lineage: Eukaryota; Metazoa; Chordata; Mammalia; Rodentia; Muridae
Description: long non-coding RNA chr10:33171709-33172486
Source: RNAcentral
GGCACAAACCAAGCACUGUAUCAGCGAGCUAUAUCCCCAUUCCUAAAACAUAUUUUGAAAAGUAAAUUUGUUUUCUUAAGACAAUUUUUACAUAGUACAUAUGUUUCUCAAGCUAUUAUUUAGUAUGUUACACAUACUGUUAACUCUUGGAAUUUUGUUGUGGAACAAAAUAUUGGGCCAUCUGUAGCUGUUUUUUGCUACUUUGUGAGUUCUUUCCCUUAUCCCUCCACUGCAGGUUUCAUUUUCUAUCACUACAUUGGAGGGAAAGGAUAGGAGAGACAGAGACAGAGACAGAGAUUCUUGAAUCUAAUUUAUUUCUUUUUUGUUUCUUCUUAUAGCAUGACUACUAAAACAAACCACAUCCAACCUCUAUCAAUAAGCAACAACUCACUGACUGCCUUUCAAGGCCCUUGAAUUUACAUGCCUUCUGAAAAGUUCCUAGAAUUCCAAAUGUUACAUUAUUGCAGAAACUAUCUGUAGCUGGCAAAACCAUGCCUCUGCUAGAGAAUGAGGCAAGUUUUAGUCAGCUGUUGCAGACACUCUAAAGGAGCGCUACAUCUCCACAAAUGGGCUUAAAAUGAAAAUAUAUUCUUAAAAUAGUUCUGUUUCAAAAGAUUAAUUUCUUAUAAAUUAUUAUUAUUAAUUUUAAUGACUACACUGUAGGUGUCUUCAGACACGUAAGAGGACAAUGGAUCCCAUUACAUAUGGUUGUGAUCCACCAUGUGGUUGCUUCCUAUUGAACUCAGGAUCUCGGGAAGAACGUUUUUAACUGUUCUU